Molecule: ribosomal RNA, 253 nt
Filed under: Dongia sp.
Lineage: Bacteria; Pseudomonadati; Pseudomonadota; Alphaproteobacteria; Rhodospirillales; Dongiaceae
Also listed under: 3 other names
Description: partial 16S ribosomal RNA
Rfam family: Bacterial small subunit ribosomal RNA
Source: RNAcentral
UACGAAGGGGGCGAGCGUUGUUCGGAAUUACUGGGCGUAAAGGGCGCGUAGGCGGCCGAUCAAGUCAGAUGUGAAAGUCCUGGGCUUAACCUGGGGACUGCAUUUGAUACUGAUUGGCUUGAAUGCAGGAGAGGAUAGCGGAAUUCCCAGUGUAGAGGUGAAAUUCGUAGAUAUUGGGAAGAACACCGGUGGCGAAGGCGGCUAUCUGGACUGUGAUUGACGCUGAGGCGCGAAAGCGUGGGGAGCAAACAGG